UUUAACUGAAGAGUUUGAUCAUGGCUCAGAUUGAACGCUGGCGGCAGGCUUAACACAUGCAAGUCGAGCGGGGGAAGGUAGCUUGCUACUGGACCUAGCGGCGGACGGGUGAGUAAUGCUUAGGAAUCUGCCUAUUAG
This 138-nucleotide ribosomal RNA is filed under the name Acinetobacter baumannii. RNAcentral's name for it is "partial 16S ribosomal RNA". It matches the Rfam family "Bacterial small subunit ribosomal RNA", at positions 1 to 136 of the family's 1533-position model. The record is from RNAcentral. Lineage: Bacteria; Pseudomonadati; Pseudomonadota; Gammaproteobacteria; Moraxellales; Moraxellaceae.